Molecule: long non-coding RNA, 5565 nt
Filed under: Canis lupus familiaris (dog)
Lineage: Eukaryota; Metazoa; Chordata; Mammalia; Carnivora; Canidae
Description: lncRNA (ENSCAFG00845006282.1)
Source: RNAcentral
GUCCUUUGGAGGAACAGACCAUAGCUUUGUAAGUUUUAAUCUCCUGUGCCCAGCUCAGUGCAUGGCAGAAGGCAAUUGCCUGGUCUGUGGUGGAGGUGCUGGUUAUUUUUGGUGUAGAUGUUACCUUUAUCAUGGUAGGGAUGGGAGGCUCAGCCUGACCAAAACACCGGGCAGGGUACAGGAUGGCUGGGAAGCUGCUGAUAAGGCUCUGCCAGCAUUACAGCCCCAGCCCUGGUGAUCACCGUGAUCCCUGAUCGCCGUCGCACUGGCUGGUUCUGGGGGUCUGGGCGCUGGUCAUGCCGGUCGCGCCGGGUCUGGCCACCGGGUGGCACCCACGCUCCACAAAUGCUGCCACCGCGCUGGGCUCGGUCUCCGCUAGGCUCUGCUUGGGAACCAGGGGAGGCAGGGGCUGCAGGAGGUCCAGCGCUGCCCUAGUCCCAGCCCCUGGCUCUCUGAGCCAUGAGUUGACAUUCGUCCCCACUAGGCCUUCUUCCUCAAGCCUUUGUGUUUAUUCUGUUCCCUGCAGACCGAGUGAUGCCCCUUCUCCCAGGCGGCCUGUCUGCCCAUCAGGAGGCCCAGCGCGGCCAGACAGUGAGCCACGAGCACCCUCAGCCCUGGAGCCCGCCCAGUGGUGUUUACAGGAGGCCGGGUCUGGGAACACCUGUUGUCCAGGCAGCCUCCUGCUGUCCUGCCUCCCUACACCCAGCUCACCAUCAGAAAUGCCAUGUUUCUGCCUGUCCUCGUUAUGGCCAGCACUAACUGGCUUUUGCCCCCCGAGUAACACAUCAACUACAAGAAACAGAGCUGCAGGUCUGGAGAGUGUUACCUGGAUGCCCCGAAGUCCUCUGAUCUGCACUCAGAGUUUCCUCUCAGCGCUCACUCUUGCUCUGAGAAGGCUGCUCCUGGUGAGCCUCGCUGGGAGGGAGCCCCAGGAGGAAGGAGAGCCAGUAGCAUCGACUCUUUUACUCUCCAUGGACACCUUUUCGGGGAGGGUUUAUCAACCCCAUUUAACAGGUGAGGAAGCUGAGGCCCAGAGCCCUUUACUAACUUCCCCAGAGUGACAAGGCCUCAGUGGCAGAGGUGAGAUUCGAACACGCGCCUGGUCCAAACUGCAAUGGACCCACCAGAUAAGAAAGCCAACAAGUGCCUUUUAUUGAAGACUAUGGGGGCAGGUUCUGCGCUCUAUACUGCUUUAUGCAUAUUAACCAUUUACUUUCUGUGAACCCCCACGAACCUCCAUGGGAGCACGGUCUUGGCCUUAUUUGGCGAUGAGCUGAACAAGCCAGGCCACUAGAGGGAAGGUGGCUGGUGUGAGGUCACUGGGCCACCAGACACCUCCUUCAUGUCUCACUCACAGUCCUGCCUCUUCUGGGCCUCUUCCUCCUCUGCCUGGUGUCUCUUCACUCGUGAAAGGCCGAGCAGUGUUCGUGCUGCAGUGUAGUGCAGCUAAGUAUCUGUCCCAGUAGAAACGACACAGGCGAGCCUGCAGCCCAUCACCCAGACUCUGCCAGGGGCUCUCUGUGGACUCUGAGACUCACACUCUGGAAGUCUUGGUCACUGAGCCACGUGGCCAUGGUCAGAUGGACAGUAUACACCCCUUCCCAUCUCCUGGUAGCUCUAGAAGCUCUAGUUGCAUAGAAUUUUCCUUCAGAGAGGCUGCGUCUCCAGUGUUCUGGUGUUUGGGAGCACAUCCACAUUACUUUCCUAGAUUCCAGCAAUGCCUCCUGGCUGGCCUCCUACAGCCUCUCUUGCCGCCCUCCAGCCCACUCUCUGCGCAAUAGGAUGAUCAUCAAAAAGUACGAAGCUUGGGGGAUCCCUGGGUCACUCAGCAGUUUAACCCCUGCCUAUGGCCCAGGGCAUGAUCCUGGAAUCCUGGGAUCGAGUUCCACAUUGGGCUCCCAAUGAGGAGCCUGCUUCUCCCUCUGCCUGUGUCUCUGCCUCUCUCUCUCUCUCUGUAUCUCUCAUGAAUAAAUAAAAUCUUAAAAAAAAAAGUGCGAAGCUGACCAUGUUGCUCAUUCCCUGAAAAUACUUUCGUGACUUCCCUUGCUCUUGAGAUAAUGGCCCCGAUCUGUACCUUGACCACCGCUCUGCACUGCCUGUCUGCCCUCACUGUGCUUCAGCCACACUGAUCUUUCAGCUUCUGGGUUUGUUCCUUUCCACUUCAAGACCUUUGCUAUUGGUAGCCCUUUAUUCUAAAAUAGUCUUGGGGUACCUGGGUGCCUCAGUCAGUUAAGUGUCCAACCCUUGAUCUCAGCUCAAGUCUUGAUCUCAGUGUUGUGAGUUCAAGCCCCACAUUGGCCUCUACACUGGGCAUGGAGCCUACUUUAAAAAAAAAUAAGUACAGACUGAGGUCACAGUGGAAGUGGUGGAUGUCCUCUUUUACUCCCCCAGAAAUGUAGUCUUAACCAGUCAGUUGGGAAUUUUUUUAAGGGAGGCCUGGGUGGUGCAGUUGUUUGAGCACCCAACUUUUGGUUUCUGCUCAGGUUCUGAUCUCAGAGUCGUGAGAUUGAGCCCCUUGUUGGGCUCCACACUCAGCACGGAGUCUGCUUGAGAUUCUCUCUCUCUCUCUCUCUCUUGAUCUCUCUCAAAUAAAUAACUCUUAAAAAAAUAUUCUCUUUGCUAUGCCAGGCUCACUUCUCAGCUUCUAAAUUUUGGCUAAAAUGUCUCUUCCUCAGGGGACCACCCCUAACUCCUGCAGAGCUACACCACUUCCUUAGUAGCUCCUUGCACUUGGCUUUCAUAACACUUAACUUCAUUUGUCAUCACAUCGUUAUUAGUGUCAGCAGUGUCUUAGUGUUGAUCCUUCAUUGACAUACAAGCUCCCUCAUGGGGCAGGAAUCUCUUUGUCCUGUACUUUCAGCAUCCAGCAUCAUGCCAGAGGCAUAGAAGAUCUUUACCAGAUAUUUGUUGAUUAAAAGUUGGAUGUUGGGGCUCCUGCAUGGCUCAGUUGGUUAAGUGUCUGCCUCCUACUCAGGUCAUGAUCUCAGGGUCCUAGGAUCAAGCCCCACAUUGGGCUCCCUGCUCAGCAUGGAGCCUGCUUCUCCCUUUCCUUCUGUCCCUCUCCCCCCACCACUAAUGUGCUCUCUCUCCCUCUCUCUCUCCCCCCAUCUCAAAUAAAUAAAUAAAAUCUUAAAAAAAAAAAAGCUGAAUGUUAAGGAUUGGUCUACUCAUACUUUGGGAGCUAUUUCUUGCAGACACUUGAAUUUUCCAAGGCUGAUUUUGCAGCUCUUCCUGAAAACUUUUCUGCAUCCAAAUGAAGUUGUCCUUAUACUCUGAACAUCAAGGAUUGCUGGAAACAUACAACUGGAAAGAAUUUCUGCUUGUAAUUAAAUUGUAGCUAAUGAAAUAAGUGACAUGUUGAUCUGUCUCGCUGCUCACAUAUCUGGGACUCUGGGUUGCAUACUAAUUUCUCGUCUAAAUCAAUUAAAGUCCGAUGGAAAAAAAUUCACCCCCUUUAGAGACCCUUGGAGGAUAGUGGUCCCCUUGCAAAGAGAUUGGAAAGGACAGAAAGCAGGGAAGCUGUGGGUCCCAUAGCUUUGCUUUCACCCAAUCAUGGCUGAAGGAGAAGCAGAUGAAUAAACUCUGGGUUCUGAAACCUUAAUCAUUUAGAUUGUAGAAAUGUAUCUCACGAUCCACUGUGAAUCUUCUUAGCCCUAGGAGAGGCAAAUAACAAGAAAACAACUGAAUUUCAGGGCUUCGGUCCAAACCCCAAUCAGUGUCUCUGAGCUGUCUCUUGGUUCAUACAGCGCCAGGGCAGCUUUCUUCUCCUGUAGCUACUGUAUCAGUAGGGGAGAACUGAUGUUGAUAAUGAGGACCUAGAGGCCUCAUGGCAUCUUCAGACACCUGGGAACGGCUUGAUUGCGUGCAGAAGGCUCUUACCCAUUAAGGCAGGGAAGUAAAAUCUGUAUCAAGAUUCAUGAAAAUUUCACAUUCUUGCUAAUUGCUGUAUAAGUCAUUCAAGAAAUCAGUGUUCAGUUUAUACAGAGAACCCGGACACACUUGUCCUGGAAGCCGGCACCUGCUGAAGAAAGUAGUCAGUGCUCUAGACACGGCAUCACUAUGGGUUUGAAGGUUCCGUAAUUAAACCGUAUGUGUGUGUCUCUUGUGAUAGCUGGGCUUUGUGGGGUCACAUCCUGAUAGGAUUAGUCAACUUAAUCUAUAGGAAAAGUUCCCGUCCAUAGAGUGAGAUAUUCUCACUGUCAGUCAUCCAUGGAAGAUGCAGGAAAGUAAAGAGCAUUACACAGAAGAGAUAGAGAACUCCUGUCUCUCUUGGGGCCUCCCUGGAUUCUGCUUUUAGUUCCUUAUGAUGUCUAGACUUCUCUGCCAGUACUUGCCACGUGCCAGGCUUUGGCUCAAGUUUCUUUGUACAGUACUUUCUAUAAAACUCUCACCCUAAAGUGGAAGGAGUUCUCUCCAGUUUUACAGAAGGCAGACAGAGACUCCGAGAUUAAGGGUCAUAGCUGCUAAGUAAGGGAUGGCCUUGGGAUUCCAAACACUAUGUCUUAUUUUUUAUUUUUAUUUUUUAAAAGAUAUUAUAUAUUUACUCAUGAGAGACAGAGAGAGAGAGAGGCAGAGACAGACAGAGGGAGAAGCAGGCUCCCCGAGGGGAGCCCGUUAUGGGACUCCAUCCCAAGACCUCGGGAUCACGACUUGAGCCAAAGGCAGAUACUCAACCACUGAGCCACCCAGGUGUCCCAAAGCAAGGUGUUUUAAAACACAGUCUGCUUUUACCCAUGGAGCUAUUGUGCAUUCUGUGUAGUAGGUUGGAAGCAGUGAUGUGCUGGUACCUGUUUAGCAAGCAGCUCUCAGAAUUAAAUGAAUAAACUAUGCCCUGAUUUUUGCCAAUUUCUUUUUUUUUUAUUUUUUAUUUAUUUUUUUAUUUAUUUAUGAUAGUCACACACACAGAGAGAGAGAGAGAGACAGAGACAUAGGCAGAGGGAGAAGCAGGCUCCAUGCACCGGGAGCCUGACGUGGGACUCGAUCCCGGGUCUCCAGGAUCGCGCCCUGGGCCAAAGGCAGGCACCAAACCACUGCGCCACCCAGGGAUCCCUGAUUUUUGCCAAUUUCUAUGGUGUAAAUAUUCCCACCGUGGUCAAUCUCAAGCUACCAACAUGAAGACACUCACCGAACAGGAGCUGGGAAGAGAUGCACACAGAUGCUCACAGCGACCUGCUUCAGUACACCUCUGGAAUGAAGCCACCCACGCCUAGAAACAAGCUAAAACUUCUAUGGCGGCAGGGUGAGGCGCUGCAAGCUCCGGAGAAUGAAGGCCGUUACUGAGCUGAGUGAGACUUUGGGAGUUAGUUUCUGUAGCUACAUGUUGCUUUCUUCCUUGUUUUCUACUAGCCUUUCCUGAAGCCUUGAAUGAAUGCCUCUCCUGGCUCAGCUCCACCACAGGGGAUUUAGGAAAGGGGUGAAGACCUUUCUGGCUCACCCCUACCAGUCUCCAGUGGUGUGGGCAGAGAUUCUUUGUGAAACAGCCCCAAAGGCUCAGGGAAUCUUGGGGGUUGUAAGGGCUAUGGAUGCUCUUCCUUUCUCAUUCCAUUUAGUUAUUUAAGAGAGGUG